AUUGAACGCUGGCGGCAGGCCUAACACAUGCAAGUCGAGCGGAUGAAGGGAGCUUGCUCCUGGAUUCAGCGGCGGACGGGUGAGUAAUGCCUAGGAAUCUGCCUGGUAGUGGGGGAUAACGUCCGGAAACGGGCGCUAAUACCGCAUACGUCCUGAGGGUGAAAGUGGGGGAUCUUCGGACCUCACGCUAUCAGAUGAGCCUAGGUCGGAUUAGCUAGUUGGUGGGGUAAGGGCCUACCAAGGCGACGAUCCGUAACUGGUCUGAGAGGAUGAUCAGUCACACUGGAACUGAGACACGGUCCAGACUCCUACGGGAGGCAGCAGUGGGGAAUAUUGGACAGUGGGCGAAAGCCUGAUCCAGCCAUGCCGCGUGUGUGAAGACGGUCUUCGGAUUGUAAAGCACUUUAAGUUGGGAGGAAGGGCAGUAAGUUAAUACCUUGCUGUUUUGACGUUACCAACAGAAUAAGCACCGGCUAACUUCGUG
RNAcentral lists this ribosomal RNA (484 nucleotides) under uncultured bacterium. RNAcentral's name for it is "partial 16S ribosomal RNA". It matches the Rfam family "Bacterial small subunit ribosomal RNA", at positions 30 to 507 of the family's 1533-position model. The record is from RNAcentral.